This 163-nucleotide non-coding RNA is filed under the name Candidatus Heteroruminococcus faecigallinarum. Lineage: Bacteria; Bacillati; Bacillota; Clostridia. The record is from RNAcentral.
CUGAAGGUACCGUCUGGUUGCUUUGCAUCAAAAGGGAAUGCAGUGAAAAUCUGCAGCAGCCCCCGCUACUGUGACCGGCUGUCCCCCCGCACAAGGCCACUGGGAGCAAUCCCGGGAAGGCGCGGGAGGCCAAAGGCCGGAGCCAGGAGACCUGCCAGAAUGG